RNAcentral lists this ribosomal RNA (253 nucleotides) under uncultured bacterium. RNAcentral's name for it is "partial 16S ribosomal RNA". It matches the Rfam family "Bacterial small subunit ribosomal RNA", at positions 524 to 776 of the family's 1533-position model. The record is from RNAcentral.
UACGUAGGGCGCAAGCGUUAUCCGGAAUUAUUGGGCGUAAAGAGCUCGUAGGCGGUUUGUCGCGUCUGCCGUGAAAGUCCGGGGCUCAACUCCGGAUCUGCGGUGGGUACGGGCAGACUAGAGUGAUGUAGGGGAGACUGGAAUUCCUGGUGUAGCGGUGGAAUGCGCAGAUAUCGAGAGGAACACCUGCGGCGAAGGCGGCGACCUGGAUAGAUACUGACGCUGAGGUGCGAAAGCGUGGGGAGCAAACAGG